GCGGAAAAGGUAGCUUGGCGGCUUGUGCUAAAGAAGGGCCUUUGAAGGGUCAACUCCCCUCGGUGACCAGUGGUCCUCCUUUCUGAAGGCUCUUGCUACAAAGGAAAGAUGAGGAUAUUCUAUUUCUUGAUCCCUCUCAGCUACUGGGAGCUGCUUUGUGCCUUGGAAGCCUCAAGCUGAAAUGGAUGUCAGCCUCAAGUUUAACUCCAAGAGGGUUCACCUUGUUUCUUUGAACAAAAUGUGCUGCCUGUUGCUUCCCUUUGCCAGGAGUGGUGUUCCCUUUUCCACAGGUCUGGACCACAGUGUCUCUAGCUCCCGCUCCUGGAUACUUGGUUACUGUGUGUUUCGGUAAAAAAGCAUCCACAACAUGAAUAUCCACUAAGCUGUAACAGGGCCUGCUGCAACUAUAGUAUUUCCUGAAAAAGUAUCAACUGCCACAAGGGCCACAAAUAAAGUCUGUGAACUUGA
RNAcentral lists this long non-coding RNA (468 nucleotides) under Homo sapiens (human). RNAcentral describes it as "HSALNT0364257". Lineage: Eukaryota; Metazoa; Chordata; Mammalia; Primates; Hominidae. The record is from RNAcentral.